Molecule: ribosomal RNA, 599 nt
Filed under: uncultured euryarchaeote
Lineage: Archaea; Methanobacteriati; Methanobacteriota
Description: bacterial SSU rRNA
Rfam family: Archaeal small subunit ribosomal RNA
Source: RNAcentral
AGGAAUUGGCGGGGGAGCACUACAACGGGUGGAGCCUGCGGUUCAAUUGGAUUCAACGCCGGAAAGCUUACCGGGUCAGACAGCAAUAUGAUGGUCAAGCUAAAGACUUUACCGAAUUCGCUGAGAGGAGGUGCAUGGCCGUCGUCAGUUCGUAUCGUGAGACAUCCUGUUAAGUCAGGCAACGAGCAAGACCCGUGCCCACAGUUGCCAGCAUACCCUCCGGGGUGAUGGGCACACUGUGGGGACCGCCGCUGCUAAAGCGGAGGAAGGUGCGGGCUACGGUAGGUCAGUAUGCCCCGAAUCAUCCGGGCUACACGCGGGCUACAAUGGUUGGGACAAUGGGCACCUACACCGAGAGGUGAUGGUAAUCUCCUAAACCCAGCCUUAGUUCGGAUUGAGGGCUGCAACUCGCCCUCAUGAAGCCGGAAUCCGUAGUAAUCGCGUAUCAAUAUCACGCGGUGAAUACGUCCCUGCUCCUUGCACACACCGCCCGUCAAACCAUGCGAGUGAGGUCUGAAUGAGGGCACGCUUUUUGGCGUGUUCGAAUUUGGGCUUCGCGAGUGGGGUUAAGUCGUAACAAGGUAACCUCAGUCAGUCAA